Molecule: ribosomal RNA, 271 nt
Filed under: uncultured bacterium
Lineage: Bacteria
Description: partial small subunit ribosomal RNA
Rfam family: Bacterial small subunit ribosomal RNA
Source: RNAcentral
AGAAUCAACGCUGGCGGCGUGCCUAACACAUGCAAGUCGAACGCGAAAGUCCCGAAAGGGAUAAGUAGAGUGGCAAACGGGUGAGUAACACGUGGGUGACCUGCCUUCGAGCGGGGGAUAACGUCCCGAAAGGGACGCUAAUACCGCAUGACAUCCUGCCUUUGAAGAGGCGGAGAUCAAAGCCGGGGAUCGCAAGACCUGGCACUCGAAGAGGGGCCCGCGCCUGAUUAGCUAGUUGGUGGGGUAAUGGCUCACCAAGGCGACGAUCAGU